UGCAUUUCAAACCUCUGCAAUUGAAACAGAUAUUAGAAUUCUGCAUGGGGAAAUCACCCAGGACCAUUUGGACCACUUUAUCCAAUGUGUCCAACGGAAGACUUGAACAGGCAUUCAUAACAUCCCGAAGGAGUUUUCCAUUCUCAAGGUAAGUAUACUCCGGAGGACGUCUAUUAGCACUAUCAGCAUGCAACUCAAAAACAUUCGGAGAGACAACCUACUCUCAACAAAAAACAACAAAUAGCAAAAAACCCACAUUACUAACCUAUAAGAUGCUAAACCUACACAAACAAAAAAACAACCAUCCCUCCAUUUACUUACCUGAUUCCCCUUACAACUCCCACAAAAGCACAAAAUCCCGGCAUCUUUAAUCACACCUUGUAAAUCCUUUUCUCCUGGUUUACGCGCCUACACAGCAAUCACGAAUAAACUCAUAUGACACUAAUGCACCACAAGAAGAGAAAAAAAAACUCCUAACAUCAUUCACAAUUUCACAAACAAGACCAAAAUCAAAAGUUCAAAACAAUAUACCUUUUGUCCCUUGACAUAUCUCACUUUCAAUCCCUCCAGAAUCCCAGUAGCAAGAAGAUCCUUCAACUUGACAGGAAACCUCUUACCAGAACCUCCCUCCAUUGUUUGGUCACAAGAAGAGAGAGAGAUGGAUUUGAUUUGCAUGUGCAGAGGGAGUUAUAUAUAUAGUAUGAAUGAAGUGCCAACUCAUUAAUAACUGUUAACCAUUUAAAAAUCCUUUCAAGUUCUUUUUUGGUAUCUAAUUCCUUUUAGUUAUGACUAUACCAUUUGAAACCUGCCAACUUAUCAAUAACUGUUAUCACUUUUGAGUUUUAAGGUAAAACAACAUUAUAAAUUUUGGGAAUUAUUUUGAAAAUAGUAAUGGAUCAUAUAUUUUGGAGUUUAUGUUACUAACUUACCAUGUCAGUAACUAUACCAUAACAGAAAACUACCAACUAAUCAAUAGCUGUUAACCAUUUAAAAAUCCUUUAAAGUUCUUUUUUGGUAUCUAAUUCUUUUUAGUUAUGNUACUCUAUUAAGAAGCAAGUUACAAAUUACAACUCAUUAAUAACUGUUAACAACUGAAAAGUUCUGUCCUUUUUCGUAGUAUCUAUUAAAUUUCCAAAAAUGGUAUGAGACCCUUGCUUUGCAGAUCAAUCAUUGAAGUAUUUAGGCAGAACAAGAUCUAUUUUUCAUGGGACAAUUAGGUAGUUGCCAUUGUUGUGAUCAAACAUAUAGUACUAAAUAGCGGAUCCUGAAACUAUUGCGCAAUAACAACACUAUUGCCUCUAUUUGAGAACAUUUUUUGUCAACAACGCAUUAGUGUUGAAGCGCCGCUAUAUUGUGGAACAAUUGUGGUUUAUCUUAAUUAUUUAUUAUACUCACUUCCUAUUUUCCUAAUUUGAAAUCCGAAAAACCUAGUAAUUUUGUACUAAAAUGCAAAGUUACAAUCCUAAAGAGGCAGAUUAAUUAAGGACUACUUUUAUAUUGAGUAAAAAAAAAAAGACUACUUUGUUUUUUCUAGAGAAAUGCAUUAGAAAUUUUAUUUGGAGACAGUGAUAAAAGGAAGCCAUUAUUUAAUGUUUUCAAGAAUGAUAGUCCCUUGAGACUGGAUACAAUGCAUGAGGACUACUCAACACAGUGUAAAUGGCCAAUCCAUGGUCAUGUGAUUCCUGCUUUGUGGCCAUGAUUUCCUAACUACAGUUGCAUAAUUACUGCUUCUGUCCAGACUCAACUAGACAAAAUUAAUAGAUGACAGAAAAUUUUCAUUGACAAUAUCCCAUUGUACAGAUUUCAUAUCCACUACUAAAGUAUUGAAAUUAUUCACAACUCUAAUAUGAUCAUCUUUAGUACACUUUCCUCAACAAGAAUUAAUAGAUGAACAGAAAAAUGAAUCUUGUCAUGGGAACUAAAUUCUUAAUCAUCCUUCCUAAAUACAACUAAAACAACAGAAAAGAAAACAAUGGUGUCUUUUGGAAUCAUUUCCUGAAUCUUUGCACAGCCUCGACACCAAAACUAAUCGCAGCAGUACUCUAAAUGUCCUCUUCAUUAGGAGACUUUUUGUCCUGAUCAUUUGCAGCACGAGUUGUUGUUGUUGUGGGAUUUAUGUUUCCAUCUGCAGCCGGAAAUUUGUUGGAAAAGCUUCUAAUUCUUUGAUGGCCUUUAUGGAAUCUGAAUUACCAUCUUGAGCAGCAGCAGCAGAAGAUUCUCCAGCUGAUUUCUCUUCCUCAAGUUCUGCGGUAAUCUAAUUAACCAAUAGCUAAAGAUUGUUAAUUCAAAGAUCUCACUUUUCACAAAACAAAUUAUGUGCGACAUGUCUAACACUCUUUUUAACACUUCAUUUACUGUCGAAGUGAAAUUUAUGUAAGUUCUACCAUUUUGAAAUAUAAGUCCCACAUGAAUUUUUCAGUCAAUAUUAAAGAUAUUAGAGAUUGCUAACAUGGCUUAUUUACUUCAAUAGGGUCGUCUGAUAUGAGGGAAUUCACACCAGUACUUUCAAAAGUCUUUCCAUUAUCAUCGGUCAAUAAAACGGAACAUGCUGCUUUGUUGCGGCUAGGACGACCAUCUUCAUCAGCGGGCCAUGAUAGAGAUAAAGAAGUUAUCUCAAAUACUCCCUGCAUGUAUAGGACAUUGAAACAAACAAACAAAUUAAUAAAUAAAACUACACAACAGAAAAAAGAACUUUAUAAGAUUCAAAGUUUAUUUAAUAUGAAUUGGAGCUUGAGUUAAUUACCGUGCGAGUGUGAGAACCAUCAUGAUCACGAAAGAGAACGUCUGAUACAGAACUAUAAAAUAUGUUCUGAAACCAUGCUAACAAGUUGACGAUGAUCAUAUUCCUUAGAUAGUUGGUACUUGGUAUAUAGUAUCCACCACAGCCUGAAAAAUCAUUAAUUAAUGGUAUGCAACUCGCCAUAGUUCAAAUGGAUGGUAUACAGCUUGGAAGAAUUUUCUCCAGAAGUAGUUUCAGUUAGUGCAGGAGCCCAUUCAAAUUUUCUAUUGUUUGGUGUUAAGUUGAUAGAAGAAGCCAAUAGCAAUCUUGAAGAAUCACUCAAUAGCAAUUUUGCACCUGCCUCAUUCAUUGCUGCAUCAUCACCACCAGUAACCUCAUUCAUUGCUGCAAUUUACUAUGCAAUGUGAAGAGUGAGAAUGAGAGAGAGAGAGAGAGAGAGAGAGAGAGAGAGAGAGAGAGAGCAAGAGAGAGAGAGAGAGAGAGAUGGAUUUAAUUUGCAUAUACUUCAGGAGUUAGAUUGAUAGUAUGAAUGAAGAGCUAGCUAAGAAGGAAUGAUGUAACUCACUAAUUAUAACCAUACCAUAACACCACUAUAGCCUCUAUUUGACAACAUUUUUAUCAAGUCUUUUAUCUAUCAAAAUGUGACAAGUUGAUCCUUUUGUUGAUUUUUUUAUUAAAAACAAUGAAAUAAUAAUUUUAUUAAUAACUUUACUAGAAUAUGUAUGUGAGUUAAGUGAUGAAUAGAAGAUAAAAUGCUAGCUGAAAAUGAAACCAUUUUUAACAUUUUCAUUGUUUGUUAACAAUUUGAAGAAGAAAAAAAAAACAAGUUUUGUUAACAAUACAUAUCACCCCUAAACGGGCAUUAAAAUUAUCCAGAUUUUAAAUUAUAAUAUUUCUUAAACAUAUUUUUUCACUUCUGUUUAACAAUACAAAACUAAUCAAGAAUUUUCAGUUUUGUUGAAAAUUAGAUACUUAAUUUCAAGUGUUCUCUCUAAUAGGAGAGUACAUGUCCUGAUCAUUUGCCGCACUAGUUGUUGUAAAUAGGAGUAUGAACCUUGCUUAUGAGAGCAUAAAUAUUGGAAUUCAAUGUCAAUUCCCAUUGAUUUGCUGCUGUCUAACAAACCAUGGCUUACAAGAUCUGACAAGAUUCUAAGCCUUUAGAGGCAAAUGUUUUAGUCUAGAAAGUCUGUCCAAAUCUAUCAACCGCCACAUUGUUGUUUAUCUCAUUAAUUGUCGUAUUUAAGGACUCGAUUUUCUUCUCUUGAUCAUCUUUGGGCUCAACAAAUUCCUUGGCAUUUAUCCCCCUCCUGAUUGAAUCCAAUUCCACCUUCUAGGCCUUGUUCGUCAUCAUCAAUAAUAAUGAGUUCCUUUCUGAGAGUAAACGUACUGUCGAUUUCAAUUGUGUUUCCGUUGUCUAUCAUGCAAUAAAUGAUGGAGUCUGGCGCAAUAGACGAUGGAGUCUGGCUCAUCUGAUAUUUGACCAGCUCCUUAGCCUUUCAUGAGAAUCAUUUUAGUCUUAGAAGUCAAAUCAUAAAUCAUAUAGUUCUUUUUCUCAGUAACUUUUGUAAUUGAGGACUUUGUCGUGAAAAUUUUGUUAGAAAGCACAUACCCUUCUCAUCAUUGUACUCUAGGGCUUACACUAAAACAAUUCCCAUGGUCAAGCCAGAAUUAGUUCAAUAAGCCUACUAUUUCCAACCUUAACUACUUGUUUUCCCAUAAGCCUACUAUUUGGAGAGUGUUGUUCAAUAAUUUCCACCUCGUCUUAAGUAAAACUAACAGAAAUUCUUUAUUUUCUCUCUAUCGUUUCCUUCUGCCUUGCGUUGAAUUGUUUUUCUUCUCUCUUUGUCAGUUAUUUAUGCAUUGUCAACCUACACUCCAUAUUUUUCUUUGAUGUGGGAAUUGGGUAUGUAACAUAAGAAAACUUACCAAACCAUAUCGAUCAACACUAUAUUUCUAACAAAUACCACAUACGCACAUGAAGUAUGAUCAAUGCCUAAUCAUAUUUGACUCAGUCUAAUAUUUUGGUUUGCAACGCACACAUCAACAUUUUUUAAAUAGAAAAUGUUAAAAGGAAAUUUUUUUUGCAUAUUUUAAAAGAUAGAAAACCUAAACGGAAAAAGGAGAUACAUGCCUAAACUGUUAAAAAUAUAAGAAAAAAAAUCGCGGAGGAUUUUUGCCUAUUGUUAAGGCGGAAAACAAGUAUGGGAUGACAUUGAUACAGGUAUGGAAGUUACUACUCACGCAUCUAUGGGUCUAGUUACUACAAUAGUAUUCUACCCACACCUUACCCAUUGUCAUCCCUAACCGAGAUCAAUUGCAAUAUGUAGAGAAAACAAGAUCAAAGAUUUCAUAGAAAAAAUUCGAGAAAAAAUAUAAUUACCAAACAACUUUAUUUUAAUUAUACAAAUUCAUAUGUUGAGGAUAUCUAUCAUAGAUUAAUGGUUUAACUUUAUUAAACAGCAAAGUAACAUUAACUCAAGGAAGAACAUUUAUUAAAUAACGUUGGAGUCAAUGAGGAACAUAAUCACAAAUUUGUGUAAAAAUACCUACUAUAGUUCUUUUUUUUUUGAAGAAGCUACCUACUAUAUUUCUAAUUGUAUUUCAACGAAAAUUCUAAGACGCAAAGUGAACCGCCGAGCAACGGAAGGUCCAUCUCCAUUAGCAAAAUUAGAACCAAAUAAUCUCUCGUCAAAAUCGAACAAUUCAUGUACUUCUUGCACAAGUCUUUGUGCAAGUUGCUCAAGUGAAUCAAAGGAAAAGACUUGGUGGAACAAGAUAGACUGAAACCAAUCUUGACCCUCUUCAAAGAACCUUUUGCAGCUCACUUCUUCACAAUUGUAAAGUAAAGUGUUGAGGCGUGUAACUGAAUUAGAAUCAACCGAAUGCGAGAGAACAUCAAUGUGAAAAUUUAACCAAUCAGUGGGCUUAAGUUUGGGACGCUGCACCUCUAGAUAGCGGUUCAUGCUUCGAAGGUAUUCAUACUGCUCUUGGUAAUGUGCAUGCAAUCCAUAAUAGUAACAUGAUGGUUCUGAAAAAUAUAAAACAUAAAUAAGAUAUAUGUGCAUAUGUAUAGUUGAUGAAUAAAAUAAAAUUAUUUACAAUUGUAUACACAUAGAUCAAAAUAAUCAUCGUAAUACCUUAAAGAUUCCAUGCAUGAUUCUCAUCAAUAACUAUAAUAAAGUAAUAGAGCAUGCUAACUUUUUCAUAAAAUUCUAAUUCUCAUAAAACAUACCUGACUGUGUAGAGAUUGAAGAAGCCAUGGUUAUUUCUUUUAUUUCGAAAGCUUAACUUUUUUACUCCUAUCUUCUUAGUUUCUUCUGUGCACUUUUUACUUAUGGAUGUAACCCUAUUUAUAGAUCAUGAGGAGAGAGUUUUGUUUCGGGAUUGUUAGCUUUAUGGACAAGAAAACAAUUUGUUACGAUUAUUUUGUUAGAAUAAUUAGUUUAGAUUUUGAUGUUAUAUAUCUUUGUAGAGAAUCCUAAAUAUCAUUCAAAUCAAUUAAUAAUAAUCAAUUAAAAGGUGAGUGAUUAUCUUAAAAUUGUAACAAAAUCAUUUAUUUAUUUUUACUAAUCAGUAACAUUAUCUUAUUUAUGUUAUUAUUUAUAAAUGAUGAGAAGGUUUCUUUUUGGGAUUGCUUUUGAUAAGAAAACGGUUUGUUUAGAUUUAGAUUUUAUAUGCCUUAGGUAUGACCAAUCAUAAAUAUAAUCUUUUAUUCAAAGAGUAAAUCCUAAAGAUCAUUCAAAUAAGUUACUAAAUUGUUUUUUUAGUUAUCAUUUCUCAAUUACAAACUACUUUUUGUCACGAGUACAAACAAUUUGUUUUUCUUUGAAGUAAAAACAAUUGAUAAAUUAAGAGAUAAGCAAUUCUCUUACAAGACCGGCCCAAUGUAUUUUUACGCCUAAAGCAAAAUUUAAAUAGAGACUUUUUAAGUGCGUUUAGAGAGAAUAAGACAAAACUAACAAAAAAGAAUUCAUAAGUUCCCUCAAUCGAAAGUAAUUCUAUAUGAUUUGUGUCAGACACUGAUUAAAUAUGAGUAUUUUGUCAGUCAGGAAUCAAACUUUGGAUUGUCACAUUGUGAGAGUAUAUCCUCUUUCGCUAUAAUCAACUCCGUUAGUGGGUGACCUUUUUAAUAUAUACAUUAUUUAAUAUUGACUUAUUUAUCAAUUGUUAGAGAUCAUAAGAUAACAAAAUAAUAUUGAAAAGAUACAAAUAUUGAAUUCCAUUGAUAGGAAUCUGAAGGCAAAAAGAAUUUAAGGUUCAAAUAACCAAUAAAAUAGGUAGCAUUAAAAUCGAACUUACAUCAACUAUGACUCUUUAUUUACAUACCACUUGAGCUUCGAGUGAACAGGUUUACGAAAUUUGAUGUACGAAAAUAUUUUCAAAGAUAAAAAUGAGGCAUAACAAUACAGGGCCUAAAAAACUCGGGGGCAUAAAGCCCUUGCUUUAGUGGUAGCCCCUUUAGGUCGGCCCUGUUCUCUUAGGAUUUGUUGUUUGAGAGUUUGGAGGGGAGGGGAAUGAAAGGCUUUGAGGGGUGGAAAAUAUGAGGGUAAUUGAAAAAUCUUUUAAAAAAUUUAAAAGAAUAGUUUUUUAGAGAAUGAUAAAUUAAUGCAUAUCAUAAUUAUAUUUUUUAUUUUAAAAAUAAUAUAACAACGUAGAUUAAAUUUGAAGAAUUCAUAUAAACCCUCCAAAAUCCCACAAAACUCUACUCCAGUACAACUUUUUAGUUCCCCAAAUGAGGAGGGUUUAGUAUUAUGAAGAACAGUUAACCCCCAAGCCCUCCACUUCCAUUUUCCUCUAUUUCUUCCACUUAUUUAUUCUUUUUUUCUCAAGACUUCCCAUUCCUUCCCCUCCAAACUCGCAAACAAAGUCUUAUAAGUUAUAACAUAACUAUUAUCUUCUUUUUGUUGAUUAUCACAUAUAUAUAAGUUACCGCAUUACUCUCGAUCUACAAACUAAAACUCUAAAUUUGGCAUAUUAGUGUGAAUUCAAAAUAUCAAAAAGGAAAAUAGCACACGACUUAGGUACGAUGGAUGAAGCAUUUGUGUGGCACAUCUCUUAAAGUUUCACCUAGCAUGUAUUCCAACAAAACACGCAUCCACCAGUUGCUAUCAAUACGUCAAAUUUCACACAUGCUUUUUUCGCACCACAUAGCAUAGCCCUAUCAAAAAAUAGCCAAUUGCUUAUUAUAGUUAUAUAUUAGAUUGAGAAGUUAAAGAUAGGUUUUUAAAGUUGGACUUAAAAGUUUAGGUAUCCUUUAAUUAAAAUGAACGGGAAAUGUGACUUGCCGGUAACAUCAAGUGACUUAAGAACUUGACCGUCUACUAGAGAGCAUCUAGUAGACUUUGAAGCUAAUUUGGUGAAAAGGGGAGUGCAUCUAUAACUGCCAACAAUUACUCCCUUAGUCUCUAUGUUUAACGGGUUAGGCAGUUACUUGUUGCACAAGUAAUUUAUUAGCUUAAUAUAAAUAAGUGUAGUUCCUCAUUGUAAUACUCAUAUUUUGUGAAUAAUAUCUCUUUCAAUUCAGUUACUCUCCGUUCAUAGUUCUUCAUUAUACAUGGUUUGAAAAGAGUGAAACUUAUCCAAAUCAAAUCACCAAAUGGUUUCAUCGAGAUUUUCGAUUCAAUAACAUCUCACACGUCCUUGGUUUACCUUUCACUCUACAAAUUCUUGGAGAGCCAACUGGCUAAUAGGAGAUUGUUACUGGAGCCUCUCAGCCUUCCUUUCUAUUUUUCAAUAUCUUUUUCUUUCUGGAAUCUUUCUUUCCAUUCCGAAUUAACAAGGGUCAAUUCCCAACCUAUUCCUAAAGGAAUCUAGGUGCCAGAAAUAUCACAACGUGAGGAUUGCAGCAAACAUGUGGAACGACCGUCGAGAUUCACCAACGAUUUAUUAGUUCCCUUUACCUUACCAAUGUUCUAUAUUUUCCUGUUUUUUCCUUCAAUCUCAUUUUUGUGCCUAUACUAACACAGAAUAAUUAUGCCAUAUAAUUUUUUAUGAUUCUGAAUGUCUGAUGCAUGACAGUUAUACAUAGAAUAUAAGAUUUAGCAUAUGAUAUUUCUCCAUACUUAUGACAAAUUCAUUGAAAUACAUUAGAGUUUCCCUUGUGUCAAAAUAGAAAAAUCUUGUAUUCCUUGUGAUGCUUGUUUUUAUGCUAAAAAUAAAAGACUUCCUUUUACACAAAGUUCUCAUAUCUCUGAAAAUUGUUUUGAUUUAAUUCAUAUGGAUAUAUGGGGCCCCUUAUCUUUCACAUCCAUGUUUGGCUUCAAAUAUUUUCUUAAUGCAGUUGAUGAUAUAUCCAUAUUUACAUGGAUUUAUCCCAUGAGGCUUAAAUCAGAAGCAUAAAAUCUUAUCAAAUCAAUUGUGAAAAUGGUUAAUACAAAAUUUAACACUAAAAUCAAGCGUAUUAGAUUUGAUAAUGGCAAUGAGUUUCUUAGCAAAGACUUUUACUCGGAAAAUGAAAUUUUACAUCAAACUUCAUGUGUUGCAACCCCUCAUCAAAAUGGAAUAGUAGAGAGAAAGCAUAAGCAUAUUAUUUAAAUCUCAUUUACCAAAUAUUUUUUUAGCACAUGUUGUGCACAUCAUAAAUAGGUUGCCGGCACCUUUCUUAACUCAAAAGUCUCCUGACCAAAUUCUUUUCAUCUAUUUACCUAACAUUUCUUUACUUAAAGUUUUUGGUUCUCUAGUUUUUGCUUCUACUUUACAAUUGAAUAGAAAAAUUUGGACUCUAGAUCAAGAAAAUGCAUUUAUUUGGGUCUUAAAAUUGGUGUCAAAGGACAUAUCUUAUUUGACUUGCACUCAAAAGAAGUUUUCUUAUCUAGAGAUGUCAUUUACUUUGAAAAUAGUGUUCCUUAUCAAUCCAAAAUGUCUACUUAUAAUAUGAAAAAAAUUGCAUAUGCUUCUCCUUAUUAUUUAUUCCUUGAUGAUAUCGUUAUUUCUAUAUUCUCAUUUAUGUCUUAUCUCGAUCUCUCUUCAGCACAUAAGCAUUUUACUCUAAAUAUAUCCAGUAUCCCUGAACCAAAUACAUAUGAGGAAGCGAUGUGUAAUGAAAAUUGGAGAUUAGCUAUGAAAUUUGAGUUAACUGCUUUGAUGAAGAAUAACACAUAGAGAGUGACACAGCUUCCCCCUCAUAAAAGAGCAAGUGGGUUUUUAAAAUCAAACUACAUUUUGAUGGAACUAUUAAAAAGUAUAAAGCUAGGUUAGUGUCUAAAGGCUUCACUCAAACAAAAGGUCUUGUAAAGUAAAGAUGACCAUAAUCAGAGUUUUACUAGCUUUCGCGCUUCUUCUCAAAAUUGGCCUCUUUUUCAAAUUGAUGUUAACAAGGCUUUUCUUCAUGGACAUCUUGAUGAAGAAGUUUACAUGCAACCUCCACUAGACCUUGCUCUUUCUCAACCUGACUUAGUCUGCGAGCUUCAAAGAUCACUUUAUGGCUCAACCAAGCUAGCAGACAAUUAUAAUGAUUAAUAAAUAGUAAAAGCUAUAAUAGAAAGGAUGUAUAUAUGUACUGACAACUGAAUUGCAUAAUUUAAUGUUUUCAAGAAUGAGAGUCCCCUAAGACUAGAUACAAUGCCUCAGGACUACCUUACACACAGUGUAAAUGACCAAUACACAGUCAUAUCUAUCCUGUUUUGUGGCCAUGAUUUCAUAACUAGGAGUUGCACAAUUACUACUUCUGUGCAACCUCAGCAAGUAACAAUCAAAUGAAUUAUUUUCCAAAUAAAUUCAAAACAAAUAUAUCAUACAAAAUACUAUAAGAAAUCUGUUCACUGUAUAUAGAGUAGCAUAAUCAUAAAAGACUCAAAUAUUUCAUAUGACAAUAUCCCAUGUUACAAAUUUUACGUAGACUGCUUAAGUGUCAGAAUUAUUGAAAACUGCAAUAUGAUAAUGUUUAGUUAACAAGAGAAACCUGAAAUAUAUCAUCAUCUCUUCUACAAGGAAUUAGUAGAUGACAGUAAAUUGCAUCAUAGCAUGAAAAUUAAAUUCCUAAUCAUCCUUCCUAAAAACAACUAAAAGAAAAGAAAACAAUGCAAUUCUUUGAACAGCCUCUACAACAAAACUAAUAGCGAAUAGGACUCCAAAUGUCCUAUUCGGAAGGAGACUUUUUUUCCUGAUCUUUUGUUGCACUAGUUGUUGCAGGAUUUAUGUUUCCAUUUGCAGUCGGAGAAGUUGUUGGCAAAGAUUCUUAUUCUUCAAUGGCCUUUUUGGAAUCUGAAUUACCAUCUUGAGCAGCAGCAGAAGAAGAUUCUCCAGCUGAUUUCUUCUUUUGUUCCAUGGAAGCGGCUGCAGUAAUCUAAUUAACCAAUAGAUAAAAAGGUAACUCACUUUUAAUAAAACAUAAUGUGUGCAACUUUCUCUAAUACUCUCUUUUUAACAUUAUUUAUUACCAAGGUGAAAUUUAUGUAAGUUCUACCAAUUGUUAAGAUGAUUCAAGAUUUCAGACAUGAAUUUUAUUUUAUCAAAGCAAGAAAAAUUAAAAUGCAAAUCAGGAGGAGGCCUGAACCUUAUUACAACAUAUAUGUAGGCCAACUAUGACCAAUCUAUACUAAAACAAAAUUAUGCUAAUAAAAAGAGCACAACUCAGAUGAAAGCUUCUAAAGACUCAAACAUUUAUGUGGGCUAACCAAGCCCUCCAUUUGUGUUAAAUGACUCUGCCUAGAAACAUAAGCCAUGUUUUCCAUUGCCUAUGAGGGUCCCACACAAACGGUUUCAUUAGGAUGGUGAUAUUGAGAUUUUUCUUGGAUCUUGUAUUUAUUCUAGCAGAACUUGCUUCAGCCAUAGACUUGGGGCUUUUCUGUUUUUUAUUCUUCUUGCCACGCUUGACUUUGCCAACUGUUUCAGUGUCGCAAAGCAAAUACUGAUCAGCACCUGUUUACAUCAUCGCCACUACUAACAUCUUUCUGAUGAGAAGUUGAAGAAUUACUGCCAGUGCCUCCCUCAUUCAAUGCUACAUAAUCUUCACCACUUUCUUUCUGAUGAUCCUCCUCCAUUUUUGAGCUUCCCUGAUUCAUUGCUACAUCAUCACCUUUCUGAUCAGUAGUUGAAGAAUCACUACCAGUGCCUCCCUCAUUCAUUGCUGCAUCAUCUUUCUGAUCAGUCGUAGAACCAAUCAUCUUUUGUGCCUCAUUCUCAAGAUUCUUCUCCAUUUUUUGGUCACAAGAAGAAUCAAAAUCAAGAAAGUAACUAUGGAAUGUAAAGAGCCAGAGAGAGAGAGAGAGAGAUGGAUUUGAUUUGCAUGUACACAAGGAGUUAUAUUUAUAGUACGAAUGAAGAGUUAGCGAAGAAGGAAUAAUGUAAAUAACUGGUUAUAACUAACAUAACUGAAAAGUUCUAACUGAUCAAUAAAUGUUAACAAUUUGAAAAUUCUGUAAGUUCUUCAAGACCUUUUGUAACAAUGAAAAUGGUAAGAGACCCUGCUUUGCAGGUCAAACGCAAAAUCUAUUUUUCAUGGGAAAGUAGUUGUCAUUGUUCUGAUCAAACAGAAACAAAGUAAAAUUCAUUGUUGUCAACUACGCAAAUGCGUAUGCUUGGAAAACAUUAAGGAUAGUAUAGCAUAGCGUUUAUCAUAUAAAUGUUUAUGUAUGAGACUAUAAGCUAUCUCUAUAACAUUAUAAAAUAAAUUCGAACUGUUUUCAUGUAAGUUACAAGUUGUUUAAUAAAUUAUCUUUGAGAGUUGAUGGAAAUAAGCUGAAAAUAGUUUAUGAUCAUGUAAUAAUCUGUUUUCAUAAGCUCUCUCAAACAGUUUUCAUAAGCUUAAUUAAGUUACUUUGAACGGACCCUUAACUGCUAAAAAUUGGUAAAUUGAAAUGCAAAAAGACUUCUUCAAAAUCUCUUGUAUAAUUAGUAAUCACUAAUCAUGAAGUAGUUUGAAGUGAAAUCUUGUUAAUUUAUCAGUAAAACCAAUUUACAUGACUUACUAGUCCUUUAAAUUUUACGGCUUUAAAGUUCCAUUAAAAGUAGAGAAAGUUCUCCAAUUGCAAAUUUUUCAGUUCCGAUUCAGUGGAUGGAUAAUAAUAAGUUUUUCUCUAGAAACAAGAAAGGAUUGAUAAAACACAUAAAGUAAUGUUUUUCAACUUUUUUUAAGAGUAAAACAAAUGAAAAUCUUGUUAAGAGUCAUAGGAUUAGAAUCUUGAGUUCGAAUCCAACAUUGGACAUACAACAUCGUUAAAUCUCCUACGGAGAGUUUUCCGCCAAUUUAGGCCCAACAAGGCUCGAGGGAUUAGUGUAAAUUUAUACUAUAGAAGAUACCAAUCAUCAUUAAAUAAUUGUUUAACCUUAUCAAACAAAGCCAAAAUAUUUUAACUUUUUUUUAAUAGUGUAAUCAAAACAAGGAAAGUAACAGUUUAUAAUUUGCAAAAUAAUGCAUACAACAUAUAUAAUUUCUAAUUAUAUCUCAAUGAUGACUGUAAGACGCAAAGCGAAUUGACGAGCAUCGGAAGUUUCAACACAAUCACCAAGAUCAGAAUCAAAUAAUCUCUCAUCGAAAUCGAACAAUUCAUGAACUUCAGGCACAAGUCUUUUUAUUGAAAAUUAGACACUUAAUUUCAAGUGUCUUCUACAAAGGAGACUUCAUGUCCUGAUCAUUCGCAGUACUAGUGGUUGUCGUUUUGGGAUUUAUGUUUCCACCUGCAGCCGGUGGAGUUGGUGGCAAAACUCCAGUUGUUGGUGAUCGACUGUCCUUCUAACAUUCUAGGAGCUUCUAACUCUUCAAGAACCUUCUGUGAAUCAGAAUUACUAUUUCGAGCAGCAGCAGCAGUCAAAAUUCUUGAGUUGAUUCCUUAGCAACGUUUGUCACAAAACUGGACGCAACAAUCUGAUUAACCAGAAGAUAAAGAUUGUUAAUUCAAGUUACUCACUUUAAUAAAACAAAUGAGUGCGGCUUUACACAGUCUUUUUAACACUACUGUGUAAAGAAAAUAAAGCAAAGAUUGUUAAUAACACUAAUCAUUCCAUAAACUAUGAUUUGCUUACCUCAAUAGGUCCUGCAGCUUUGAGGGAAUUCACAGCAGUACUUCCGAAAGUAAUUCCCUUAUCAUCAAUCAAGGAAGGGAAGAAAAACACACAGAUGGAUUAUCUUGUAGUGUUUCUGUUCUAUCUCUUUCAAUCUCUUGUGCUUCUUCUACUUCAGUUGAGGAGAGUUUCAUGCAGUGCAUGUCAACAAUAGUUAGUAACUAUUCUGAAUCCACUGAAAAAACAGUGUUUAUCAACUCAUCCUUGUAUCCACAAGUGUUGGAAUCAUUGAAACAAAAUCCAAGAUGGCUGAAUUCAUCAAGCAAGCCUCUUCUCAUUAUGACACCUUCCCAUGAAUAAGAAAUUCAAGGAGCCAUACUAUGCAGCAAAGAGAUUGGUGUGCAGAUUAGGGUUGUUAGUGGUAACCAUGAUUAUGAAGGAAUAUCUUAUCUUUGUAAGACACCCUUUAUCAUGAUUGAUCUCAUCAACAUCCGUUCGAUCGACAUUAAUCUUGCCGAUGAAUCUGCUUGGAUUCAGGCUGGUGCAACAUUAAGUGAACUUUACUAUAAAAUCUCCGAAACAAAUAAAGUUCAUGGAUUCCCUUCAGGUGAAUUAGUUUGACUUUCUGAGACUAUCUACUAGCACAAGCAUUUAUGAGACGAUCUGAGAGAGCUUGUGAAAAUAGCUUAUGACAUGUUCAUAAGCUGUUUUCUGCUUAUUUAUAUAAACUCUCUAAGAUUGCUUGUGAAAAAAGAUUAUAACUUUUUGUGAAAAUAGUCUAGACUUUAUUUUAUCUUGUUAUAAAAUUACUUAUUUAUAAGCGCUUAGUUAAGUUGUUUUUCCAAACAGGGUUAUGUCCAAGCGUUGGAAUAGGCAGUCAAAUCAGUGGAGGUGGAUUUGGUACCUUGUUUAGGAAGCAUGGUCUAGCAGCAGAUCAUCUUGUUGAUGCUUACGGUCAUCUACAAGGUAAUAAAUUAUUCAAAACAACUUAUGUACGAGGGGACCUCAACUAGUGUGAUGAGGACAAAGAGUUGAGCCACAAAAGAUUUUUCCACUACAAUAGUUUUGAACAUACGUACGAAACACAUUGAAAAGCCAACAUUGAGAUGGAUGCUUUUAGAAGAUGAUAUGUUCCUACUUGAAGACUUAAAGGAGAAAUUAAAUGGGAGAUGAGAGGCUUGGAGAUAAGUCUAAGAAGCGUAAGGCUUCCGUCGUAGAAGCAAGAGAGGGUAUUCAAUAAAACUUAGCAAAAGACAACAUUUCCAUCAUAGAUUUGAAAGUUUGCGAUAAUCUCAUUCCACGGCUUACACAACUUAGAUAUCUUGAGUCCAAAGUGUAAAAUGGAGGUCUCAUGUGGCUGAAAUGGAAGAUCCUCCGAGGUGUUUUAUGUGAUACAAAAAUAGCGCUCAAAUUGAAGAGAAAAUGUUACCGUAUGUUGUAACACCGACUAUAUUUUAUGAUGUGUUGGCAAUAAAAAAAAGUAACCCUAGAAUAAAAUAAGAAUUGAAUGAGUGAGAAUAUUGUGUUGAAUGUCUAGUAAGACUAGACAAAAUAGGAUUAAAAAUAGCAAUAUUAUAGAGUUGAGGUAACACCUAUCUGGUAAGACUCGACUUAGGGAAAACCUGUAGAUUCUGUGGUAAAAAUAACAUAAAAUGAAGGACCUAUUAGAGAGGCUAUUAAGAAAGACCUAGAUACUAAUGAGUUGGAAUGAGAUGUAUAUAUGGCAGAUUAUUGUGAUGUCUAUUGAUCGAUGUAGUUGACCCUAAAGGCUGGUUGUUGUUCUUAAAAAUCUUAACAAGAAAUGAUAGUACUAGCAAACCUUGAAUUAUAAUGCAUAGCUUAUCAUGUGCUAAGACAACCAUUCAUUGAUUAACUUUAGACUGAUAAAAUAAGGGGAUCCAUGAUUUAAGAAGAACUACAACAAAGUGAACUGCUACAGCAUGUUUUGCAAAAUCAUUCACCGCCAUAAAAUAAAAUAAAAUCAACUAUAACAAGAAUAAAAGUAAAGGAAAAAAGGUCUGAGGAUUCCAUAUAAAAGAGUCCAUUGAAGAGCUGAACCAUUGUAUUUGUACUUCAACAUUUCAAUCCCAUAUCUUUCUUUAUCUCUCAACCUUUUCUUCUGAUAAACCUGCAUUAAAUUAACAAAAUAAAGUACAAAAAAGUCUAAGAUAAAUAAUACCAAAAUAUAAGACCAAGUUCUAACAGAUAAUAGCAGCUUCAUGUCUUUGUUUUGUUUUUGACAUGCAAAUAUGUAUUUUGAUUCUGUAGUUUGCAUGCAAUUAACCUAUUCCAGAUAUACAAUUAACCUUUCCUUUACCUCCCCUUCAUCAUCAUUAAACAAGCCAGAGACAAAUAUGUUAAGGCUCUGUUUGCGAGUUUUGAGGGGAGGGAAAGGAAAGGCUAAGGAGGGGAAGGGAAGGGAGGGGAGAGGAGGGGGAAAGGAUGGAAAACCCUUCCCUUGUUUGGGAGUUAAGAAACCAACAAGAAAGGGAAAAUGAGAGCUUUUGUGAUAAUUUUACUAUUUUACCCUUUUUUCUUCUUAAAAUCAAUAAUUUGUGUUAUACUUUAUAAUUAUUACAUAAAAAUAAUAUUUUUUUUACUGAUCUUAUAAAAAUUCUUGAAAACAUUUUUUAAACAAGUGAUACAAUAAUGAUAAAUUAAUUUCACUAUAUAUACAAAAAUUAUAUUUCCUUUUAUUUCAUAAUUAUUAUAUUUAGGUACAAAUUUCAUUAAUAAUUUUUAAAAAAAUAAAAGAAUGAUACAAGAAUUGAAUUUUGAAUUAUUGUAAGGAUAAAAUUGUCAAUUUGUAUGUUUAACCCCCCCGAAAACCCCCAAUAUGGGGGAACAAUGAGAUUGGACCAAAUAUAAUCACAUAAUGACAAUCUUGAUUUCUUUUGUAUGUUUGAAAUAAGUGUACCUCCAAUCGAAGAAUCCUUAGAUGCAUUACUUGAAACAUGAUACAGGACACCUUUCAGCUGUUCAGAACCCAGGUCCACCGUGACUAUAUAUCCGUCAUCAAAUUUCCCGUCAAUUGUUCCAUGCACUGAAGAACCGAGUGUUUGUGCUGGAGUAAUUGGACUAACUGCAUAUAAGAAAGCAAAUCUUCACCAGACAUAAACGAAAAGUAUAUCUACUAACCAACAUAGAUAAGAACUUUGUUUGCAUAACAACUUAAUAAAGCGCUUAUAGCAUACCAAUACGUUCAGUGAAUCUUCCCCCACCGGAACCAGGAGGGCGUCCUUUUCUUUUCUGGGAAGAAGUUUCUGCAGAAGUAGUUUUAGGUCCUUCUUCUCUCUUCUUUUUUGAUCUGAAACCAAGAUUAGUUUUAGGGUUUACCGUUUCUAGUUAUCUGAAAUAGCAAGAUCACUCGUUAUAUAUGCUAUGAUUCCAGUGAACUUUGAUAGAUCACACAGCAUCCUUACUAUUUUGUAUUCAAAUACAAGCAAGUAAUAUGCUCGAUUAUCACACGGUACACAUAACUUGUGCCAGGGUACACACAACUGAAAGUGACGUUAAAUAAAACAAUACAGGACAAUGAGCCUUCUGAUUUUAGCAUAAGUAUCAGUAAGGAUCUAAAAUGGCCGACAAACAUUAUGUCAUUACAGCGUUUUAAAAUGAAUUUAAUCAUGAAGCAUGUUCAUAUCUUAAAUUCUUAGAAUGUACCACGAUGCACCCAAUCAGUUAUACAUAACAAAUAGUGUUGUCAAUGCGGAUCAUGGAAAAUUGUGGUAUGUUCAAAUCCCGCUAUAAACAGUGUGACAGCAGCUAUAUCCGCAACUUGAAAAAAUUUUGUACUAAAUAGCGCACUGCAGAAUAAUAGUGCUUUUUGCAAAUGCCGCUGCACUAUGGCGGCUAUUCAACAUUGAUAACAAAUAAAAAAGAUACCUUGGUUGAAGUUGGCUAGUUUGAGUCUCUUUCAACUCCAUGCAUGGAUUGCAUACUAGUUUUGACUCACCCUUGUUAGAUUCAGAAAUUGACCCUACAAACAGUUCAUCAAAAUUACAUAUUUAAUCAACAGGAUAGCAAAUUACAUAGUGUCACAGCUAGGGAAGCAAGUGUGUGCAUUUCAAACCUCUGCAAUUGAAACAGAUAUUAGAAUUCUGCAUAGUGAAAUCACCCAGGACCAUUUGGACCACUUUAUCCAAUGUGUCCAACGGAAGACUUGAACAGGCAUUCAUGACAUCCCGAAGGAGUUUUCUAUUCUCAAGGUAAGUAUACUCCGGAGGACGUUUAUUAGCACUACCAGCAUGCAACUCAAAAACAUUCGGCGAGACAAC
This 17958-nucleotide long non-coding RNA is filed under the name Medicago truncatula (barrel medic). RNAcentral's name for it is "long non-coding RNA (MTRU_LNC008784)". Lineage: Eukaryota; Viridiplantae; Streptophyta; Magnoliopsida; Fabales; Fabaceae. The record is from RNAcentral.